RNAcentral lists this ribosomal RNA (254 nucleotides) under uncultured bacterium. RNAcentral's name for it is "partial 16S ribosomal RNA". It matches the Rfam family "Bacterial small subunit ribosomal RNA", at positions 524 to 776 of the family's 1533-position model. The record is from RNAcentral.
UACGUAGGGGGCAAGCGUUGUCCGGAGUUACUGGGCGUAAAGCGCACGCAGGCGGUCUUUUAAGUUUGGAGUGACAGUUGGUGGCUUAACUGCCAAAGUGCUUCGAAAACUGAGAGAUUUGAGGGCUUCAGAGGGACACGGAAUUCCGGGUGGAGUGGUGAAAUGACGCAGAUAUCAGGAGGAACACCGGUGGCGAAGGCGGGUCUCUGGGCCGAUACUGACGCUGAGGAGCGAAAGCGUGGGGAGCGAACAGG